UGCCACCCGCAGGAGUUUCUUAUUUGUUUAACGUGCAGCUUUCAGAAACGUCUUACAAAGUUGGAAAAAAGCUUCAUUUUAACUGUUAUAUUUUCAAUUUUAUGCUUAAAUUUGAAUAUACUCUUCGAAAAAUGUAAUAUUUGAACAGAAACAAUCCCGUCGUUAUGUUUGUUACGCCAGCGACGCAUUAAAUACUCAGGAUCAAAACAUGCAAUCAUCCCGGCUGUAGAUAAGUCUCCGUCUGUGCUGGUGGCAGCAACAAGCAGCGACAGCGACUCUGAGGACGAAGCGCUGCAGAGCAACAACUCUCACUACGACAACCAGACUCCUCCCUGCCCAGGAGAGCAGCUUCUGUCUGAUGACUUGAGUCUUCCUGCUGACAGACGUUUCAGAGACAGAUAUCCCGAGGAGACAUCUGUCCACCACUAAGCUUGUUUUUUGUUUUUUUGGGGAACACACUUCAAGUUUUCAUUUUAAGAGAAGUUGACAGCGAAGGUUGAGAAGGUGUAAUUACGUAACGUGUGCUUUGUGCUGCGAUGGCUCACUGGCUUGUCGUCAUGGAUAUAUAAUUUUUCG
Molecule: long non-coding RNA, 576 nt
Filed under: Cottoperca gobio
Lineage: Eukaryota; Metazoa; Chordata; Actinopteri; Perciformes; Bovichtidae
Description: lncRNA (ENSCGOG00000018566.1)
Source: RNAcentral